This 220-nucleotide long non-coding RNA is filed under the name Lathyrus oleraceus (garden pea). RNAcentral's name for it is "Pisum sativum (pea) long non-coding RNA (PSAT_LNC038327)". Lineage: Eukaryota; Viridiplantae; Streptophyta; Magnoliopsida; Fabales; Fabaceae. The record is from RNAcentral.
AAUCCGUCCUUUUGUGUGUGAUCCUGUAGGUUUUCGCGGCAUUGACAAUUAUAUCAAAUCACGUAUUUAACAUAAUAAAUAGUGAUUGGUAUCUAGCAACACAUCACUGCUACCCAAGACACGAAAAUUUCAUGUGAUCUGACAAAUCCUUUUGUGAUAACACUUAUGUGUACAAUUACCGUUUUGCCCUUAUGUCUAUAUUGAACACAAGGCAUAGACC